GAUGAACGCUGGCGGCGUGCCUAAUACAUGCAAGUCGAGCGAACGGACGAGAAGCUUGCUUCUCUGAUGUUAGCGGCGGACGGGUGAGUAACACGUGGAUAACCUACCUAUAAGACUGGGAUAACUUCGGGAAACCGGAGCUAAUACCGGAUAAUAUUUUGAACCGCAUGGUUCAAAAGUGAAAGACGGUCUUGCUGUCACUUAUAGAUGGAUCCGCGCUGCAUUAGCUAGUUGGUAAGGUAACGGCUUACCAAGGCAACGAUGCAUAGCCGACCUGAGAGGGUGAUCGGCCACACUGGAACUGAGACACGGUCCAGACUCCUACGGGAGGCAGCAGUAGGGAAUCUUCCGCAAUGGGCGAAAGCCUGACGGAGCAACGCCGCGUGAGUGAUGAAGGUCUUCGGAUCGUAAAACUCUGUUAUUAGGGAAGAACAUAUGUGUAAGUAACUGUGCACAUCUUGACGGUACCUAAUCAGAAAGCCACGGCUAACUACGUGCCAGCAGCCGCGGUAAUACGUAGGUGGCAAGCGUUAUCCGGAAUUAUUGGGCGUAAAGCGCGCGUAGCGGUUUUUUAGUCUGAUGUGAAAGCCCACGGCUCAACCGUGGAGGGUCAUUGGAAACUGGAAAACUUGAGUGCAGAAGAGGAAAGUGGAAUUCCAUGUGUAGCGGUGAAAUGCGCAGAGAUAUGGAGGAACACCAGUGGCGAAGGCGACUUUCUGGUCUGUAACUGACGCUGAUGUGCGAAAGCGUGGGGAUCAAACAGGAUUAGAUACCCUGGUAGUCCACGCCGUAAACGAUGAGUGCUAAGUGUUAGGGGGUUUCCGCCCCUUAGUGCUGCAGCUAACGCAUUAAGCACUCCGCCUGGGGAGUACGACCGCAAGGUUGAAACUCAAAGGAAUUGACGGGGACCCGCACAAGCGGUGGAGCAUGUGGUUUAAUUCGAAGCAACGCGAAGAACCUUACCAAAUCUUGACAUCCUUUGACAACUCUAGAGAUAGAGCCUUCCCCUUCGGGGGACAAAGUGACAGGUGGUGCAUGGUUGUCGUCAGCUCGUGUCGUGAGAUGUUGGGUUAAGUCCCGCAACGAGCGCAACCCUUAAGCUUAGUUGCCAUCAUUAAGUUGGGCACUCUAAGUUGACUGCCGGUGACAAACCGGAGGAAGGUGGGGAUGACGUCAAAUCAUCAUGCCCCUUAUGAUUUGGGCUACACACGUGCUACAAUGGACAAUACAAAGGGCAGCGAAACCGCGAGGUCAAGCAAAUCCCAUAAAGCUGUUCUCAGUUCGGAUUGUAGUCUGCAACUCGACUACAUGAAGCUGGAAUCGCUAGUAAUCGUAGAUCAGCAUGCUACGGUGAAUACGUUCCCGGGUCU
RNAcentral lists this ribosomal RNA (1370 nucleotides) under uncultured bacterium. RNAcentral describes it as "bacterial SSU rRNA". It matches the Rfam family "Bacterial small subunit ribosomal RNA", at positions 28 to 1381 of the family's 1533-position model. The record is from RNAcentral.